This 143-nucleotide unclassified non-coding RNA is filed under the name uncultured Helotiales. RNAcentral's name for it is "sequence contains ITS2". The record is from RNAcentral. Lineage: Eukaryota; Fungi; Ascomycota; Leotiomycetes; Helotiales.
GUCCAAAUCACGUCUAACGUGGUCUUGGGGCCUGCCUCUGGGCAGCCCUUAAACGCAGUGGCGGCGCCGUCUGGCUCUAAGCGUAGUAAUUCUUCUCGCUAUAGGGUCCUGCGGAUGCUUGCCAGCAACCCCCAAUACACUAG